UACGUAGGGUGCAAGCGGUAAUCGGAAUUACUGGGCGUAAAGCGUGCGCAGGCGGUUUUGUAAGUCUGACGUGAAAUCCCCGGGCUCAACCUGGGAAUUGCGUUGGAGACUGCAAGGCUAGAAUCUGGCAGAGGGGGGUAGAAUUCCACGUGUAGCAGUGAAAUGCGUAGAGAUGUGGAGGAACACCGAUGGCGAAGGCAGCCCCCUGGGUCAAGAUUGACGCUCAUGCACGAAAGCGUGGGGAGCAAACAGG
This 253-nucleotide ribosomal RNA is filed under the name uncultured bacterium. RNAcentral's name for it is "partial 16S ribosomal RNA". It matches the Rfam family "Bacterial small subunit ribosomal RNA", at positions 524 to 776 of the family's 1533-position model. The record is from RNAcentral.